This 27-nucleotide small RNA is filed under the name Bombyx mori (domestic silkworm). RNAcentral's name for it is "ovarian small RNA-33649". The record is from RNAcentral. Lineage: Eukaryota; Metazoa; Arthropoda; Insecta; Lepidoptera; Bombycidae.
UGCCAAAUAUUUGCUAAUAGAUGUCGC